GACGAACGCUGGCGGCGUGCUUAACACAUGCAAGUCGAACGGAAAGGCCCUGCUUUUGUGGGGUGCUCGAGUGGCGAACGGGUGAGUAACACGUGAGUAACCUGCACCUGACUUUGGGGUAACUUCAGGAAACUGGGGCUCAUACCGGAUAGGAGCUCCUGCUGCAUGUUGGGGGUUGGAAAGUUUCGGCGGUUGGGGAUGGACUAGCGGCUUAUCCGCUUGUUGGUGGGGUAGUGACUUUACAAGGCUAUGAAGGGUAGCCUGCCUGAGAGGGGGACCGGCCACAUUGGGACUGAGAUGCGGCCCAGACUCCAACGGUAGGCAGCAGUGGAGAAUAUUGCACAAUGGGCGGAAGCCAGAUGCGGCAACGCCGCGUGCGGGAUGACGGCCUUCGAGUUGUAAACCGAUGUCGCCUGUGACGAAGAGUGAGUGACGGUAAUGGGUAAAGAAGCACCGGCUAACUACGUG
Molecule: ribosomal RNA, 468 nt
Filed under: uncultured bacterium
Lineage: Bacteria
Description: partial 16S ribosomal RNA
Rfam family: Bacterial small subunit ribosomal RNA
Source: RNAcentral